UAAGAUUGAAUCUGAUGUGACGGUUUUCUUUAAUAGUAUAAAUAAAUAAAUAAUUAUAAAGUGAGCUUCUUUGAAACUGAAAUUUUAGAGCAAUGAGGCUUGUAUUUUUUAGGCGAAAGUGUAAUCUCCACGACAUGUUUAAAGUAUAUAAAGGCCUUGAGUCUUUUGAGAAAGACUUCGCUUAUGCAAACUUUGGGGAAUCAUCACUUCAUUCUUUGAGUUUCUUGCCUUUUUGGUGUUUGUCUCAUCUUCUUCCAAAGUUCAUCAAUUUCCUUCUUUUUUUCUUGGUAAGUUUUUUUUGUUGCAUUUUUGCCCAUUGCAAAUUUUGUUUUUAGGAAAGCUUACGUCUUUUACUUGUUUGUUUCCUCGCUUUUUGUCAUACUUUAUAAUCAACCAUUAAAAGAUGACUUCCUAGCUAUUAGCGACGGUAUUUCGUGUACAACCGUGAAGGAGUAUAUGCUAUGGGCUCUUCAAUUUAGGAGGAUUAGGGAUCCCUAUGAUAAAAUAGAUUCGUCGUUAGAGACGUCAUUCAUCUAUUGAGCAACAUCGUAGACAAUGAAAAGAGUAUUUUUCUGCUAUUAUACAUCUUUAAGCUGGAUUUUCAUUUGCAUCUGCACCUAUCGUUCGUAAAGGCAUUCAAUUCUUUUGGCAUAGCCCUAAGGCAAUUGGUUGAGAGUUCAAGGUUCCACUUGGCGGCAUUCUUCCUAGAUUGCCACAAUAGUGGGAAGGAGCCCUGCUUGAGUAGCUUUUGGAACCUAAACUUCCUCCGAUUCUCUCACAAAAUAAGCCAACAAUGACUAUUAUUUCCAACAAUACAAGAAUGUGGGCUUGCCAAUUUUUGAUAAACCAAACAACUAGUACCAAAAUAAAGGUCAAUUUAUCUUUUUAGAGGAUAAAAUGGGCGUCUUUCCUUUUUCUUACACUGUGGAAGGAACUUGGUCGGAAAUUGAGCGUGGUUCCCAACUUGGAAGAUGACAAUACUAUGGGUUAGUAUGAUCAUUACAAACAGGGUCUUGUUUUGCCCUCACCAGUCUGCUAAAGUUGAAUCUUAUUUGGUGCAUUGCCUAAAGAAAAUGAGCCCAAAUGGUGUGGCUCUAUUUGUCAUUGAUAGCUUUAGGGAUAAGUUGGACAUAUAUAGGUGCGAUUCAUACAGUCUAAGGGUGGGCCACUGAGAACCACAAAUGAAAUUGGUAAAAUGAGUAUAAGCACGCUGAAGAGGCUUGAAGGAUUUUUUUUAGUUCUCCUUUGUGGUUGUCCCAAGAGGAAGGCUUCCAAUAAAUGAAAUGAAGUUAUAACCUUAUCUACGCAAGUUCCAAAAAGCAUAAGGUUGCUGAUCUUACCUCCCCAAGUUUCUAAAAAGCAAAAGGUGGCUUGCCCAAUGCAAUCUAACACCGGUAUUGGCAUUCCCCAAAAUAAGGAGGUUUGCCAAGCAUUAAGUGGUGUUUCUAUUAAUGUUCUCUACAAUGAGGAAAAUGAUGACUUAGACCGGGAAAUUGACAAUUAUACGAGCCCCAAAUCAAUGCCUUGUAUGAUUGUGGAGAGUUUAGGUCCUUUGGUUGUCAAAUAAUCUUUUAAGAUUGAGGAUUCUGGUUUGUAAUGACACUAUCAUCAGUAUGAUCUUGAUUGAGCUUUGUUUUCUAUGUACUUACGACUUUGUGAAUUUUUUGCAGAUACGUUAGCUAGCAGGUUUGACUGGUAUAACUUUCUCCAAGAGUUGGAUAGAGAGGACGCCCUAUCCAUAAAAAGGCAAAAUGUUGGUGGUGGGGUUGACAUUGCUGCCAUGCAAUCAAGACAACGCCAACUCCUACUCUAACAACCACUCUAAUGGUUGUUGUUAUGUUAACUGUUGCAGCCCCUCAUGCCCUUACUAUGCUUAUUUCAACUAUGCUUAUUUCUUUAUCACUGUUCCUUAUGCCCUACACUAGCUAUUGACACUCCUCCUUCAACUAUGCUUAUUUCUCUAUCAUUGUCCCUUGUGACUGUCUUUGCGACGAACCAACUUGGAGGCGCUACUAAUGAUACUGCUUCCACAGAGGCCUUUUCUGUAGUUUAAGGGUCAUAAUGUUAAAAAGAAGAUACGGAGGUUCAGAAAAAGUCAUUUUGUGAUGUCUCCAUCAGGAGUAUUCCCAUGACGUAGUCAUUUGUUUAUUGAUAAGUUUCCACGAAUUUUCCAUAUUUAGUUAUUUAGGGAAACCAUUAAACAAAAGUGUUAAAAUGUGAACAUGAUUAAAAAGAGCAGCUUGAGUAAAAAAAAGUUAACGAGUCAAUUUUAUUCUUGAAUACUUGAUGUGAAGAAUUUAUUGUUGCAUUUACUAAAUUUGUUGAUUUAAAUUGUCUCGAAUUGCGUUGUACGCCGAUUGUAUGCUUAUAAUUUAGUUAUUGUAUAUGG
RNAcentral lists this long non-coding RNA (2389 nucleotides) under Gossypium barbadense (sea-island cotton). RNAcentral describes it as "long non-coding RNA (GBAR_LNC005835)". The record is from RNAcentral. Lineage: Eukaryota; Viridiplantae; Streptophyta; Magnoliopsida; Malvales; Malvaceae.